Molecule: ribosomal RNA, 253 nt
Filed under: uncultured bacterium
Lineage: Bacteria
Description: partial 16S ribosomal RNA
Rfam family: Bacterial small subunit ribosomal RNA
Source: RNAcentral
UACGUAGGGUGCAAGCGUUAAUCGGAAUUACUGGGCGUAAAGCGUGCGCAGGCGGCUUUGCAAGACAGAUGUGAAAUCCCCGGGCUUAACCUGGGAACUGCAUUUGUGACUGCAUGGCUGGAGUGCGGCAGAGGGGGAUGGAAUUCCGCGUGUAGCAGUGAGAUGCGUAGAUAUGUGGAGGAAUACCGAUGGCGAAGGCAGCCCCCUGGGCCAAUACUGACGCUCAUGCACGAAAGCGUGGGGAGCAAACAGG